Molecule: ribosomal RNA, 254 nt
Filed under: uncultured bacterium
Lineage: Bacteria
Description: partial 16S ribosomal RNA
Rfam family: Archaeal small subunit ribosomal RNA
Source: RNAcentral
CCCCAGCGCCACAAGUGGUUAUCACGAUUAUUGGGCCUAAAGCGUUCGUAGCUGGUUUGGUAAAUCUCUUGUGAAAUUGUUCGGCUUAACCGGACAGCGUGCAGGGGACACUGCCAAACUCGAGACCGGGAGGCGUAUGAAGUAUUCCAUGGGGACUGGUAAAAUGGGAUAAUCCAUGGAAGACUACCGAUGGCGAAGGCAUCAUACGAGAACGGAUCUGACAGUGAGGAACGAAAGCCAGGGGAGCGAACCGG